GGAGAGUGCAAACGUUGUUCGGAUUCACUGGGCGUAAAGGGCACGUAGGCGGCUCGGCAAAUCGGUCGUGGAAUCCCGACGCUUACCGUCGGAACGGCGGCCGAAAAUACCGGGCUCGAGGGCGUGAGGGGUCACUGGAACUCCUGGUGAAGCGGUGAAAUGCGUAGAUAUCAGGAGGAACGCCGGAGGCGAAAGCGAGUGACUGGCGCGUUCCUGACGCUGAGGUGCGAAAGCUAGGGGAGCAAACAGGAUUAGAUACCCUGGUAGUCCUAGCCGUAAACGAUGGACACUGAGUGGAGGAGGGCUUGCCUUUCUCUGCUGCAGCUAACGCGUUAAGUGUCCCGCCUGGGGAGUACGGCCGCAAGGUUA
RNAcentral lists this ribosomal RNA (369 nucleotides) under uncultured bacterium. RNAcentral's name for it is "bacterial SSU rRNA". It matches the Rfam family "Bacterial small subunit ribosomal RNA", at positions 527 to 896 of the family's 1533-position model. The record is from RNAcentral.